RNAcentral lists this ribosomal RNA (229 nucleotides) under uncultured bacterium. RNAcentral describes it as "partial 16S ribosomal RNA". It matches the Rfam family "Bacterial small subunit ribosomal RNA", at positions 568 to 796 of the family's 1533-position model. The record is from RNAcentral.
UGCGUAGGCGGGCUAAUAAGUCAGAGGUGAAAUCCCACAGCUUAACUGUGGCACUGCCUUUGAUACUGUUAGUCUUGAGUCAUAAUGAGGUAGAUGGAAUGUGUAGUGUAGCGGUGAAAUGCAUAGAUAUUACACAGAACACCGAUUGCGAAGGCAGUCUACUAAUUAUGUACUGACGCUGAGGGACGAAAGCGUGGGUAGCGAACAGGAUUAGAUACCCUGGUAGUCC